UACGGGGGGGGCAAGCGUUGUUCGGAAUUACUGGGCGUAAAGGGCUCGUAGGCGGCCAACUAAGUCAGACGUGAAAUCCCCAGGCUCAACCUGGGAACUGCGUCUGAUACUGGAUGGCUUGAAUCCGGGAGAGGGAUGCAGAAUUCCAGGUGUAGCGGUGAAAUGCGUAGAUAUCUGGAGGAACACCUGCGGCGAAGGCGGGUUGCUGGGCUGACACUGACGCUGAAGCGCGAAAGCUAGGGGAGCGAACGGG
Molecule: ribosomal RNA, 253 nt
Filed under: uncultured bacterium
Lineage: Bacteria
Description: partial 16S ribosomal RNA
Rfam family: Bacterial small subunit ribosomal RNA
Source: RNAcentral